Poecile atricapillus (Black-capped chickadee) is the source of this 5328-nucleotide RNA transcript. It is a transcript of the gene named A-kinase anchor protein 17B-like, with no coding region annotated. The record is from RefSeq and is a predicted model, not a curated record. NCBI's taxonomy places the organism in Eukaryota, Metazoa, Chordata, Aves, Passeriformes, Paridae. The transcript has 7 exons.
GGGGCGGGUCCAUGGGUCCAUGGGCGCUGCCGCGCUCCGCCCCGGGGUGGCGGCCGAAGGGCUGGCGGUAGCGCGGCGGCCGGAGGAUAACCCUCUAUCGUGACCUCGUUGAUGGUAUGGUCUCUGAAACUGUUGUGAUGGCCCAGGGCUUGGCAUGAGUGACCAGCUGGGAAACUGGGGAUGAAAAAGACGUGGUGAUGAAAAGAAGUUCAAGAGAGAAAAAGGAAAGCUAAGCGCGAGAGGAGAGAAGAGAGGCAGAUAGAUGGAGAUGAGGAACAUCCCCCAAAGCAGCAGAAGGUACCGGCUGAAGAACAGCAGUGGCCAGAGAAUAUGCCUGAAUGGGAAGAAAGGAAAUCCCUGCUAGCUCAGAGAAGAGUGGAAUCUGUCAGACUGCUUACAGUGCUGUUAAAUCGUGUGAAAUUGGCAAGUCAAAAAGUGGAUCCUUCACUGGGUAUAAAGGACGAUUCAUUUUCUGAAACAGUAUUUAAAGACAUACAGCAGGAGCUGAUUAACUCCCUUUAUCGUACGCACAAAGAGCUGACACGUAAGGAGUUUAAGUGCCCGUUAACCCAAAAAGGUAGUGGUUUAUGUUGUGAGGAAGGAGAUGUGAGUAACUUCCAUGCAUCUACUUGUCACAUAGUCAGGACAAUUUUAAAUGAUCCGUCUCCAGCCCCGAGCUCUGAUGGACUGCCUGGCAGAGAUGUGUGCACCUCCUCCGCCAAAGGCUGUGGGCCUUUGCUGAUCACGGUUACCCAGGACGGCAGGGUCAUCGAACCUCUCCAUGGAAGGCACCACCCAGCACUGGAUGUAGCUCACACACAGACAUUGUCUGAGGAGGAUGAUUGCAAAAAGCCAAAGGUUUAUGAGACUGAUGAGUUCAUCCAUUAUUUACUAAACUACUAUCAGACACCACACUACGCACGUGUUUGCUUAGAGCCAAAAACCACUGCGAACAAUUCCCGGUGGAAGAGAGUGGUGUGUGAUGAUGGUAGUGGGUUUGACAGCUUGAGUAACAAACAUGGUCAGCACUUCAGAGAAGUGAGUCCUGUACAAAACCUCCAAAAGAGAAAUUGUAGUAGUGAUAGUAAUUAUAGGCUGGUGAUAUCUCUUGGGGAACUGGAGUCAACAGACGAAGUGUUAGAAAGCAAGGUCCAUGGGGGCAAGCUUGCAAAAAAGCUGCAAGUGCAGAGGAAUAACUCGCUUACUGUUGAUAACUUACCACAUGUUGGACUGAACCAUUCUUUGGAGUGCACUACUGUUACUCACAAUAAGGAAUUCAAACAAGAAGAUGGUAGAGAUGAAGGCACUGUACCAUAUGGAAGUAGAUCUGCUUGCAGAUUAAAGGAUUUGUUGGAAGAGAUCAGUGAUUCUGAGUACUUUAGAGAGGCAUGUGGCGGCUCAGUGAAGAGAGCAGAAAGAAGGUAUGAAGAAAUUUACAGCAGUUGCAAUAAAGGGUGCUUGUCUGCAAGAGCCGGGGAAAGAAAAUUACUAGUUUACCAUAAAAAUGUAGCUCUGGAAGGUCAAGAGAAGGAAAUCAGCCAGUGUAACUCCUGUUCUAAUUCUGUCCAUGAGGGCUUGGCAAGGCAGUGUGAACGUAAACUUAAAAAGUCGUGCAAGAGGUCUAGUAGUAAAUUAAGAUAUGAAGGAAAGAAAAGUGAGAGACAAUCCAGGGAAAAGGAGAAAAAUGCUCAUAAAAUGAAGAAAAAGCGAAAAAAGCUUUCUUCUAAUCUUUUAACUGAUGAAUGUGGCUUUUCAGAGACGGACAGUUGCAUGCAGCUGGAGUCGCUCAGAAAGAUACAGAGAAAAUGUAAGAAAAUGUUACACAAGAAAGUGAAAUUCAAGACACAUCACACCUCUAUGGCAGCACCACAUGUUACCCCUCAUGAUGGUUCACCCCUUCAGGAGACCCUCCAGAGGAGAGGAGAUGAGAGGAAAUUAAUGUUGAGAAGAGAGAUGGAUGCAGAUGUCAGAGGAUGUCCUCUAUUUCCUCUUGAGAUAAUUCAAACAAACCCCUUCUCAGAUACUUUCUGUGGAGGAGAGCCCAGAAGAGGAUGCUGAACAGCUACUGUAUUAUAGCUCUGAAGUUUUUAUAAAGUGGGAGAAGAAAGCCCUUUGAUCAUUAAAAGGUUAAAGAUAACAAAACUUCCCCCUCUGUCACAGUUUUGUGUCCAUGAGUACCCAUUUCCCGUGAGACAGGCCUUUUGGUGACAGUUUGAACCUGAUGUGUUCUAUUUGCCCCGGUUGCUGUUUCAAGAGGCUGGAUGCUUUUUAUGCAAACACUGUUUACUCUGACAUGUAUGAAGCUGGGACCUGAGACUGCAGAUCUUGCCGUCCAAUUUAAUUUUCUGUACAGAACUGGUGAAAAUACCUCCUCCUAGAGCUGGUAUGAAGAGAAGUUGGCUCAACAAUGCUUUGUUACUGAAAAUAUGUGACCUGUGGGUUGUACCUUGUGCUGAAUACUGAAGUCAAAAUCCUACAGGCUGGUUUUAAAGCAGAAAUACACAAGGCCCAUUAUUAAAUCAGUCCAUCUGCUUGAAAUAAAAUACAGCAAUUAUAAUAUAAAGCCCUUUCUUAAACCGGGGAUUCCAGGAAAUGCAUAGAAAUGCCUUUCAUAAAACCCCUUACAUAACUUUCAACAGAAGCAUUCAAUACUGAACUUUUUUUUGUUUAAUUGAAACAGCAGAAAGUAAGAGCAAAUAAAGGUGAUUAAGGGCAGGUGAAAAAUAUCUGAAUUUUACAAAGCAGGUAAAAGUAUGAGUUUUCCUAGCUGGAAAUAAGAUAUGACUCAAUUGUUUUGUCCUGGAGUAGAUCUUUGUGACAGGUGUUGGACACCUCAGAUAAGGGAGAUUAGUGACAUUCUCUGCAUUUAACUGGUCAUCAUGUCCUACCUGGUUAAUAUACAGACUGAUAAACUGCCUGGCAUUGUUCUUUUUGCAUAGUCAUUGGUACCAGUCACUGUUGAAGGAAGGGUUCAAGCUGUAAUUAAUAGACUUAAAAAGAAGCUAAAACCCCUCCAUUUUCUUCUGUACUUUGGAAAGAAGUAAAACCCAUGCCUGGUGCUUUAUGAGCAGCUUUUGUGACACACUUCUUCUCUUUUCACAAUAAAUUCUCUGUUUUCCCUGAAAAAGUAAGUCUUACCGAAGUGUCAUUCCUCCUCCCCAAGAAGUAUUAACAAUGAGCAUUGUCUUGUGUUACUGCCUGUUUUCUGCAUAAUUUUUGUUACUGUUUUUCUUUGUGAUGCAUAAUGUUCUGAUGUACAGAUUAAUACUUAAAAUAGUGUUCAGUUCCUCGGGAGAUGAUACAGAGUAACUUAAGAGUCCACUGAAGGGUAGGUUACAGCCUUCCAAAGCUCCAGCUCUUACUCAGUAUUAACAAUUACUUGGGUUUUUUUUCUGCCUAAUACUGUUUUUGCAAUGAGCAUGUUCUCUAUUUAAUAUUCUGUUAAAGUUUUACUAGUGAACUGCAUUUACAGUCAUUCCAUUAGAACACAUUUUACUGAAUCUAUGCAUUGGAUAAUGUGACACAUUGGAAAAAGACAAUAUAAAAUUUGAAACAUUAGGGGAGUAUUAAAUAUAACAUUUGGUUGCAGUAAAUGAAAACACCACCAUUAUGCAAGAGUAUUUUAUUUUCUGCCUUAAACAAAUAAAAGUACAUUUCCAAUUUGAGGUAAACCAUUAGUAGUAGUUUGCAAAGAGUAUAAAUGUCUCUAAAAAUAAAAUAGCAACACAAAGAUCAUGACAAGGUCUACAUGUGGCUCUAGACCUUCAUUAGGUAGUCCAUAGAGUACCACUUUACACAAACUCUCUGGCUCAAACAACCUUGCUCUUCAUUGGAAUGCCCAGUGCAACCAGAAGAAAAUCCCAGGACAGAGUUGGGACUGAGGGAGAGUUGGUUAUUCUCACCACAGUUGGUGUCAGGCACUUUAAUAUGUUGUGUCAAGUUGUUUAUGAAAACUGCUGUAGUGCAACACACUCUACUUCCGAACAUUUUUACCUAGUUUACACCUUCCCACAGAGGACUCAGUUCAUCCUUUUGAUCAUGUUGCCAAAUUGAAAUAACCACACAGCUGAGCCAGAGAAAUUAGACACAGGGAACUACACCAGACAGGCACCCUGAAUAUUCUGCACUAGCCGAAUCGCUUGGACAAGAAACAAAUUCACAAGUGAUCAGCAAAUCAUUAGUUAUCUUGGAAUUUAUAAGAAAAUUUUACAGAAGUAUUUUGGAAGAUGAACAAUUACGUUUUUCCUUGGUCAUAUCCAUUUACCCAGCCCUCUCUGGAAGGAGGCAGGCCACUUAGAAAAAACAUAGUAAUUAAGCAUAUAGUUAAGCUGAGAGAGCAAAUAGAUAAAAAGCAACUCAAAGGUCAGGUCCACAGGUGUAGCACUGCUGGUUAUGCAUGAGAUUGUGCCAUUUUGUUUAAUGGCAACAUUCCAAACCAACAAAGGCCUCAAUGCAGAAACAGCUUACACUGUUUUAUUUUGCACAUAACUUACGUAAGUUACAUUGACCAGUAAUGUUUUUCUGCUAGGUAAAGGUGCAUGUACAAGAGCACUUGCUAAUCAUGCCAUACCAGCAACUUCUGGUUUUUUAGGCCUAGGAAUCAAGAGCAGCUGAUGUUCCAUGUUUAAUAUAAUUCCAUUAACAUUCACAGGAGCGCUUUUUGCUAAGAAGAAAAUUGAAUGAACAAUAGUCAAGUCACACUCCAUGGUGUACCUUUAGGGACGCCUAGUUCCACUCAUUAUCUAAACUUUUGUAACACUAUAGAUGUGCUUUAAAAGUGAACAGAGAAUAUUAGUCUAUGCAGAAUUAUACAAGUUGAACACGUCAAGCAUUCAUCAGUCUUUAUUAAAUAUUUAAAAGUGAUUUAACCUCUCAAAAAUUCUUGAUCUUUUUCAAAAGCAGUUAGUGUUUCAUCUGUAAGUGGCUAAUGCAACGCCUUGAAAACCAAAUUAUCUUAUAUAAUAAAGAAUUACACUACACAACAAAGUAUGAUGCUUUGUGGACAAACAAAAUAUAGUCCCUUUUUUCUAAAGGAAUUACAAGCCAGGGACCAGGUCCUGCAGAAGCUAACACAAAAGAAUUAGUGGUGUUUGUGUUGCAUAUAUGAAGUUAUUCACGUGCUUGUGUCCACAAUGCUAGGUUGGUAAUGAAAAACUUGAUUUUGAUCUACUUUGCACUAAAUGGUGAUAGCAGAAAAAUAGUCCUUUAUUGCCAAAAUUGCAGUUUACUUUUGCACAGACAUUUGUCAUGCAUACUUCUUUUUAUGUGAGUUUAAAGGAAGACAGAUCAUAGAUCUUCAGAACCUUCCCACUGAAUUUGAAAAGGAAA